GGAGACAUGUGCUGCACACUCCCCUAUCCCCUCUUGAGCUUGCUGCACCUUNUUUUUUUUUCCCACGCCUAUGCAGCAGGCUGCCAUGCCCAAGUACACCUAAAUAUGUCAAUCAGCCACCCUAGAAUGUACCUCCUCCCAUGUAUACAAGCUCCCAGCCAAACCACCUCGUCAUUCAAAACAGCCAACAUUGUUGCAUUCUCUUCAUUCUUCAUUUGAGGACUGCACAAGGAGAAGUGAGCCUUUAAUUCAUCCUACCAAGUAUUCUCAAGGUAAGCUUGUCUUCAAUGCUCCACCUUCUUCCCUUAUUCCACCUGCAUUAAUACAAGAACAACUUUAUUAUUUCAGUUCGAUCUGCUGCUUCAUUUAAUCCAACCACAACAGCCAACAAACACCAAAGCAAGCAUCAUUCAAGGUAUUUAUACUACCUCAGUUAUCCAAUCCAGUCCGCAUUUCAUACCAACAAGCAUGAUCAGUUUCAUAUUGACAGAGGGCCUAUAUGCGCAUAAGAGACUUAGCAUUGACAUGUUCUUUAUCGCACAACACCAGUUACAUUUUACUUAUGUAAGUAUUAGUGUGUAUGAAAUCUUGAGCAAAGGCAUAACUCUGAAGCAAAGCAUAGAACAUACAACCUGUUGUACAUAUCUCAUUUUGGAAACCACAUAAGGAAGUCACCUAUGUCUCGAUCAUUUGAUGAACUCAGGAAUCACAAAACAUCAAACACUUUUACUAGCAAGUAAUUUAUAUGACUUAGCUUAUAGGGAAGCAUCGAAC
Molecule: long non-coding RNA, 774 nt
Filed under: Salvia miltiorrhiza (redroot sage)
Lineage: Eukaryota; Viridiplantae; Streptophyta; Magnoliopsida; Lamiales; Lamiaceae
Description: long non-coding RNA (SMIL_LNC007531)
Source: RNAcentral